RNAcentral lists this ribosomal RNA (365 nucleotides) under uncultured Fusibacter sp. RNAcentral describes it as "bacterial SSU rRNA". It matches the Rfam family "Bacterial small subunit ribosomal RNA", at positions 1018 to 1382 of the family's 1533-position model. Lineage: Bacteria; Bacillati; Bacillota; Clostridia; Eubacteriales; Fusibacteraceae. The record is from RNAcentral.
UUCGGGUACAAUUGAGACAGGUGGUGCAUGGUUGUCGUCAGCUCGUGUCGUGAGAUGUUGGGUUAAGUCCCGCAACGAGCGCAACCCUUGUGUUUAGUUGCAAACAGGUCAAGCUGUGCACUCUAGACAGACUGCCGUGGACAACACGGAGGAAGGUGGGGAUGACGUCAAAUCAUCAUGCCCCUUAUGAUCUGGGCUACACACGUGCUACAAUGGCCGGUACAACGGGCAGCGAAGGAGCGAUCCGGAGCGAAUCCUAAAAAGCCGGUCCCAGUUCGGAUUGCAGGCUGAAACUCGCCUACAUGAAGUUGGAGUUGCUAGUAAUCGCGAAUCAGAAUGUCGCGGUGAAUGCGUUCCCGGGUCUU